UCUCGAUUGGUCUAGUGGUCAGGAUACCUGCUUGUCAACGGACAAGUACGCAGGUGGCCGGGGUUCGAUUCCCCGAUCGAGAG
Molecule: transfer RNA, 83 nt
Rfam family: tRNA
About the family: Transfer RNA (tRNA) molecules are approximately 80 nucleotides in length. Their secondary structure includes four short double-helical elements and three loops (D, anti-codon, and T loops).